GGGUGUCUUUCUUUUGCAUUGGGACUUUUGUCCUCUUUCUUUCUUUUCUCUUUUUUUAGAGAUCAGCCAACCCUUUUAAUGCAAUGAUAAUCGAAGGGAGUAUCAACUGAAAUAACUGGAGCUUUAUUGGAUAAGUAGAAUAAGAUAUAAUGGAUAUUUUUGGGUAUUCCCUCCUAGUGUAGGAGUAGAACAUUUUCUAAGUGGAUGUGGAAUGUAUGUGGGUGGAUGAAGGAAUGCGUAGUCCUAGGGUAGGAGCAGCAUAAGUGCAUG
RNAcentral lists this long non-coding RNA (270 nucleotides) under Sorghum bicolor (sorghum). Its description in RNAcentral is "long non-coding RNA (SBIC_LNC007777)". The record is from RNAcentral. Lineage: Eukaryota; Viridiplantae; Streptophyta; Magnoliopsida; Poales; Poaceae.